UGCCAGCAGCCGCGGUAAUACGUAGGGGCCAAGCGUUGUCCGGAUUUAUUGGGCGUAAGGGCUCGUAGGCGGUUUCGUAAGUCGAUCGUGAAAUUUCGGGGCUCAACCCCGAGACUGCGGUCGAAACUGCGAUGACUAGUGUCCGGUAGAGGUGAGUGGAAUUCUCGGUGUAGCGGUGAAAUGCGCAGAUAUCGAGAGGAACACCAUUAGCGAAGGCGGCUCACUGGGCCGGUAUAGACGCUGAGGAGCGAAAGCGUGGGGAGCAAACAGGAUUAGAUA
RNAcentral lists this ribosomal RNA (279 nucleotides) under uncultured bacterium. RNAcentral describes it as "partial 16S ribosomal RNA". It matches the Rfam family "Bacterial small subunit ribosomal RNA", at positions 506 to 784 of the family's 1533-position model. The record is from RNAcentral.